Molecule: long non-coding RNA, 2357 nt
Organism: Gossypium arboreum
Lineage: Eukaryota; Viridiplantae; Streptophyta; Magnoliopsida; Malvales; Malvaceae
Exons: 2
Source: RefSeq, a predicted model, not a curated record
AGAUUUAUGCAAAGACAGCAGGCUUUCGGCCACCGCCCACCAUGGGUUUAGCUUUUGGGCCUAAGAAUAAGUCCAAGUCCAACAGACUUGUCUGAAUAGUUAGUGCUAACUAGGGUUUUUAAAGUUUCUAACUCAUUAGUCAGUUCUUCCUAUAAAUUACUCUUUUGUUCUUAGGGUUUAGCCACCAAAAGCAGCUGCAGAGACAAGCCGUUUCGACAUAGUAUUUCUUUCUUCUACUUUGGUUGCCCUGUUUGUUUCAGAUUAUAUUUAUUUCUAGUUCUGAUGCUUGUUUUUCUGGUUCAAAAUUCUUAAGUGUUUGGUUUUUUCUUUUUCUUCCAAAAACAAGGGUGUUGGAGAAUGAAAUGAUGAACAGAAUUUUCCCUAUUGGUUUGAUUGCCGUGAUGAUGGCAACCUUAACGUAUUAGCUCUAUCUGAUCAUUCUCUUUACCUUGUAAAAAAAAAAAGUUGUGGUUUUUGAUAUGGUUUUUGACAAAGCUUCAGACUUUGUUAUUAUACUCCCUGUUUCAAGACUGUUAAUUUUGGUAUUGGAUCUAAAAAUGGACCUUUGAACAUUGCUCACUUGAUUGAUUUAACAUUUUGUUGUUGUUGGUGUUGUGGGAGAAUGAAAUGAUGAAUGUGAUAUUGUUUCCCUAUUGGUUUGAUUGCCGUGAUGAUGGCAACUUCAGUAUUAGCUCUAUCUGAUCAUUCUCUUUCAUAUAUUUUUUGUUCUCCUAAUGUGAUGAACAUGAAGGAAAUUGGUAAGGGAUAUCCAUGUUUUUCCUCUGAAGUGAUAUUGGGGAUGAAACACUGAACGUAAGGAUUCCUCCAUGUGUAUGAAUUAAUUAGCUCAUGAGUUUUGGUUGACUCAAUUUUGAGUUGGGUUGGGCUGGAUUCAUGAAUGUUUUUAAACCUGAGUCUUGGCUAAUAUUUUAAAUAUCUUAAUUUUUUUUUUAAGUUUUUUUUUUUCAAAGUUUAAUUGUUGUAGGUCAAUUUUAACCCAUUUACAUCAAAAUUUAAUUUAAUUUUACUUAAUUCAUCAAAAUUAAAUUCAAAAUCUAAAAUCUUAAUUACCUAAAGCUCAAUUUACAUCAAAAUUUUAAUGGCUCAAAUCUUAAGCCCAAAUCAAAAUAAAAAAUCCUAGUCCACAACUUAAAUUUUUCUCAAUUAAAUCUUAACUUUUGCCACCACCAACUCCACUAGCCACACUUGCUCCACCACUUAUUCCAUUAGCUACACUUGUUCCACCACCACUUGUACCUACAAAUGAAGACAUAAACAAUAAAAAAUAUUUGGUAAAUGGUUAUAUAAGCCUUCUCAUAUUUUGUAUUUAAGGGAGGAAGAAGUUUUGGGGCAGAAAGUUAUUGUAAAAGAUUUUUAAGAGGUUUUUUAAGAGUAAUCAAGGAGAAAAGUUAUUGUAAAGGCUAGUUUUUGGAGAUGUUAGUUUUUUUUUGGAGAUUAAUCAAAUAUCAAAGCAAAAGAAGUUUCUUGGUCUAUAACUGAAAGGAAAACAAUAAGCAAACAAAGAACUUAAAACGAGAAUAGACCAAGAAAUAUUUUUUGCUUUGAUAUUUGAUUAAUCUCAAAAAAAAUUAGUCUCUCCAAAAACUAGCCUUUACAAUAACUUUUCUCCUUGAUUACUCUAAAAAAACCUCUUAAAACCCUUUACAAUAAUUUUCUCCCCCAAAACUUCUUUCUCCCCUAAAUAUAAAAUAUGAGAAGGCUUAUAUAGCCAUUUACCAAAUUUUUUUAUUGUUUAUGUCUUCAUUUGUAGGUACAAGUGGUGGUGGAGCAAGUGUGACUAAUGGAGUAGGUGGUGGAGCAAGUGUGGCUAGUGGAGUUGGUGGUGGCAAAGGCUAGGAUUUAGUUGAGAAAAGUUUAGGUUGUGGGCUAGGGUUUUUUAUUUUGAUUUGGGCUUAGGGUUUGGGUCAUUGGGGUUUUGAUGUAAAUUGAGCUUUAGGUAGUUAAGAUUUUGGGUUUUGGGUUUAAUUUUAGUGGGUUAAAUUGGGUUUUGAUAUAAAUGGGUUAAAAUUGGCCUACAACAGCUGCCUCUCUUUACUUAUUAUCGUGUAACGGGAAUAAAGCAAAGACACAAAGAAAGGCCAAUUUUGCCCGGUCUUACUAAGUAUGGACUUCUUUGGUGCUCUUCUCAUCCAGCUUCGAUUUACUCCAAGGUGACUUCAAAAAGAUAAGAUCGACAGCUUCAAUCUGCUCUUCCAUCGCUUUAGUCAGAUAAAAUUUGUGGUCUUCUCUUCUGCAACUUUUAGAAAUGUAAGAUUUGAUAUCAUCGAUCAGCUCCACUGCAACUUCAAUUAGCUUCACUGUAACUUCAGGGAUAUAAAAUAUGUGUCUUCGAUUAA